AUGUGCUUUUAUUUUCCUUCAAUCCAGAUGGUGAUGUGUGUCAUUGUCUAUUUCAGGAAAGAUGUUUUUACUGACUUCACAACAGUUUGGAGAUGUAAUGGAGUCACAGGACUACUACCCAUACCAGCCAUUACCAGCCAACUCCAAAACAACACAUGCAUGUUUGAGGAAACACACACUUUGGAGAAAGUGAUGAGCUCUGCAAGUUCAGGAGAAAGCAGCCCUUCUUGGCUGAAAAAAACUUUCUUUUUCUUCUUUUGUUUCCACAGAUGGAAACAGAGACUUAAGACUUAGUUCACUCAGAAAUGAAAAAUCUGUGGUUUACUCUCCCUCGUGUCGUUCCAAACCCAUAAGACUUUGACCGUGUCUACACCGGACACACCUGACCUUCAUGACCUUUCAGGAUCCUCUAACUGCUGGUUACAUGGACUGUCACCGGAGGAAGGAAAGCUUUCAGGUUUCAUUAUGAAAUAUCUUCAUUUGUGUUUUGAAGAUAACCAAAGUCUGAUGGAUUUGAUCUACACGAGGGUGAGUAAAUGACAAUUAUGAGGAUGAUUUCCUUGAAAGAUGAAGCUACAGAUGAUGUUUUUCUAGAGAACUGAUGUUUUAAAAAAAGCACCAAAUAUCAGAAUUGUUGUAAAAUGUAUUGAAAUCUUUAAGAAGUUUACAAUGUUGACCUUGCAUUCUAAUGUAUUUAUCAAAUUUGUCCAAAUGUGAGAAGCUGCCCUUCUUUUCUAAACUUUAAUGCAAGUUCAUCUGGAAUGUGGCUGUUUUUCAGUGGCACAUGGAUAUCAGAUUUCUUGGAUGAACGUUCUGUUCUGGAAAGUUAUGCUUUUACGUUUUAAAGCAGUUUUCACUAUUAACUGUUGUAAAUUCUUCCUCAUAUUCCAAAAGUGGAAAUUAUGUCAAUGUGAUUUCAGAUUUCAAUGUGAUGUAAUAAACAUUUUAAAAUGUUUGACUCUCA
Molecule: long non-coding RNA, 964 nt
Organism: Cyprinus carpio (common carp)
Lineage: Eukaryota; Metazoa; Chordata; Actinopteri; Cypriniformes; Cyprinidae
Source: Ensembl